This 433-nucleotide ribosomal RNA is filed under the name uncultured bacterium. RNAcentral describes it as "partial 16S ribosomal RNA". It matches the Rfam family "Bacterial small subunit ribosomal RNA", at positions 29 to 507 of the family's 1533-position model. The record is from RNAcentral.
AACGAACGCUGGCGGCAUGCCUAACACAUGCAAGUCGAACGAGACCUUCGGGUCUAGUGGCGCACGGGUGCGUAACGCGUGGGAACCUGCCCUUAGGUUCGGAAUAACUCCCCGAAAGGGGUGCUAAUACCGGAUCAUGUCUUCGGACCAAAGAUUUAUCGCCUUUGGAUGGGCCCGCGUUGGAUUAGCUAGUUGGUAGGGUAAAAGCCUACCAAGGCGACGAUCCAUAGCUGGUCUGAGAGGAUGAUCAGCCACACUUGGACUGAGACACGGCCCAGACUCCUACGGGAGGCAGCAGUGGGGAAUAUUGGACAAUGGGCGAAAGCAUGAUCCAGCAAUGCCGCGUGAGUGAUGAAGGCCUUAGGGUUGUAAAGCUCUUUUACCCGGGAUGAUAAUGACAGUACCGGGAGAAUAAGCUCCGACUAACUCCGUG